RNAcentral lists this transfer RNA (82 nucleotides) under Flavobacterium sp. IR1. RNAcentral describes it as "tRNA-Ser". It matches the Rfam family "tRNA". Rfam says of the family: Transfer RNA (tRNA) molecules are approximately 80 nucleotides in length. RNAcentral also lists the same sequence under 1 other name. The record is from RNAcentral. Lineage: Bacteria; Pseudomonadati; Bacteroidota; Flavobacteriia; Flavobacteriales; Flavobacteriaceae.
UUAGGAUUGGCGAAAUUGGUAGACGCGAUCGUCUUGAAAACGAUUAUCGAAAGAUGUGUGGGUUCGAAUCCCAUAUCCAGCA